This 450-nucleotide ribosomal RNA is filed under the name uncultured bacterium. RNAcentral's name for it is "partial 16S ribosomal RNA". It matches the Rfam family "Bacterial small subunit ribosomal RNA", at positions 354 to 796 of the family's 1533-position model. The record is from RNAcentral.
GUGGGGAAUUUUGGACAAUGGGCGCAAGCCUGAUCCAGCAAUGCCGCGUGCAGGAAGAAGGCCUUCGGGUUGUAAACUGCAUUUGUACGGAACGAAACGGUCCGGGUUAAUACCCUGGGCUAAUGACGGUACCGUAAGAAUAAGCACCGGCUAACUACGUGCCAGCAGCCGCGGUAAUACGUAGGGUGCAAGCGUUAAUCGGAAUUACUGGGCGUAAAGCGUGCGCAGGCGGUUUUGUAAGACAGGCGUGAAAUCCCCGGGCUCAACCUGGGAAUUGCGCUUGUGACUGCAAGGCUGGAGUGCGGCAGAGGGGGAUGGAAUUCCGCGUGUAGCAGUGAAAUGCGUAGAUAUGCGGAGGAACACCGAUGGCGAAGGCAAUCCCCUGGGCCUGCACUGACGCUCAUGCACGAAAGCGUGGGGAGCAAACAGGAUUAGAAACCCCAGUAGUCC